CCUUUUGAAACAAAGGUAGGGUUGCAAGAUGGUCAUAGCAACAUUUUGAAACGAAGGCAUGGCUGCUGUUUUCAAAGAUGGAGGCAGACAGAAAAGAGGAGAUGUCAUUCUGAGGAAGACAAUUGAGCGACUGCUUCGGAACCUGGAUUGGCCGGACUCUGAGGGUUUAGAGUUACCACCUGGACAAAAUCCUCAGCUUCCUUUUGUGGUUUUACUUUUUCUUUGUUAAUGUUAAAUCUUCCAGACUGGUAAUGGAGCUCAGUGAUGGGAUGCUUGUCCAGCAUGCAGCAAGACCCUGAGUUUCGUGUUUAGCAUAAUAAGAAAAAACACCAAACCAAGCCACCUUUGGAAUUAGGGAUGUGGCUUAGCAUAGAGCAUGUGCUUAGCAUGCUGCGUGUCCUAGGUUAAUUCCCAGUGCCAAAAAAUAAAGCAA
Long non-coding RNA from Mesocricetus auratus (golden hamster), 433 nucleotides. RefSeq lists it as uncharacterized. The record is from RefSeq and is a predicted model, not a curated record. The transcript is spliced from 3 exons. Lineage: Eukaryota; Metazoa; Chordata; Mammalia; Rodentia; Cricetidae.